UUAAAAGGUUUGGUCCUGGCUUUAAUAUCAACUACAACUAGAUUUACACAUGCAAGUCUCCGCACACCAGUGAACACGCCCAUAAUAUUUAAGGAGCUGAUAUCAGGUACAAUAAAAUUAGCCAAUAACAUCCAGCUAUUUAAAGCCACUCCCACAAGGGCUCGCAGCAGUGAUAAAUAUUGAAAUAUAAGCACCAGCUUGACUCAAUCAUAGUUUUUAGAGUUGGUUAACCUCGUGCCAGCCACCGCGGUUAUACGAGAAACUCAAGUUGAUAUAUCACCGGCGUAAAGAGUGAAAAAGAGACACUAAAAACUGAGAUUAAACCCUUAUCCAACUGUCAUACGUUCUUAUUAGGUAUUAUACUCAAUCGCAAAAGCAAUCUCAAUAUCUAAGACUAUCCUAAUCACGACCGCUGAGACACAAACUGGGAUUAGAUACCCCACUAUGCUCAACCACAAAACUUGACCAUCUACAUAUAAUAUCCGCCAGAGCACUACGGGCAACAGCCUAAAACUCAAAGGACUUGGCGGUGUCCUAACCCUAUCAGAGGAGCCUGUUCUAUAAUCGAUAAUCCACGUUACACCCAACCAUCCUUUGAUUAAUCAGCCUAUAUACCACCGUCAACAGCCUACCUUAUGAGAGAAAUAAAAGUUAGCAAAAUGAACAACUUCAAUACGUCAGGUCAAGGUGUAGCACAUAGGAUGGAGAGAAAUGGGCUACAUUUUCUUUUCAAGAAUAUACGAACGGUAAAAUGAAAACAAACCCGAAGGCGGAUUUGAUAGUAAGAAGAAAUAAUUUAUAUUCUUCUUAAAAUGGCUCUAGGACGCGCACACACCGCCCGUCACCCUCAUCAAAAAUAUUGAAUCUAAAUAAUUAAACACAUAUACACUUAUAAGACGAGGUAAGUCGUAACAUGGUAAGCGCACUGGAAAGUGCUCUUGGAAUAAU
RNAcentral lists this non-coding RNA (948 nucleotides) under Chikila fulleri (Kuttal caecilian). Its description in RNAcentral is "12S ribosomal RNA". It matches the Rfam family "Bacterial small subunit ribosomal RNA". Lineage: Eukaryota; Metazoa; Chordata; Amphibia; Gymnophiona; Chikilidae. The record is from RNAcentral.